RNAcentral lists this long non-coding RNA (962 nucleotides) under Nicotiana benthamiana. Its description in RNAcentral is "long non-coding RNA (NBEN_LNC015588)". The record is from RNAcentral. Lineage: Eukaryota; Viridiplantae; Streptophyta; Magnoliopsida; Solanales; Solanaceae.
UUCAGGUAAAAACGAGACUUAAAGAAAUCGGAAAUGGAGAUUCACAAGUCAUUCACAAAACAACCAUUAAAGCAUGGAAGGUAACAAACAUAAACAACUUAUGGGAAGAUGAACAAAGAAACAGGGAAAAGGAAAAGAUUGAACCUCGAAAAAGCGGACGGAAUCCCGAAUAACACUAUUCGAACGAACAAUUUACGAGCACCUCGAUAUGGCGGCGAGCUGGUCGGAACCAACAAAUCGCAUGACACCGGAGGACUCAAACUCGAACAAGGCCUCUAAAUACUCAAUCGAACUCUGUGUUUCAUCGCACGACACCGGAGGACUCGAACUAGAACAAGGCCUCUAAAUACUCAAUCGAACUCCAUAUUUCAAGUCAAAAUCUGAAAUAGUAAUGAAGAGAUAGAGAUAUCUCUUUUGCUUUUUAUAUUUUAUUUUUUUAGAUCUUAAGCAGAAGCAAAGACUUGAAUCAAAAUAAAAACAAAAUGAAGAACACUCCUUGGAACUCCUCUAUUUCUCUCUUAUUGUUACAUUCUCGUUGGUUUGGGUUGCUACGGUUUGUAGAGAUGAGGUUCCGUGGCGUUCAGGGUUGUUUGACGAUGAUGGGUGAUGGGGUGGUGAAGAGGAGUGACGGACGUUGGAGAUGGCGAAGGGCUGGUUGUUUCGCUGGUUUCGACAGUGCAGCGAGGUUGUUUGGUCGAGGCGGGCUAGACUGGUUUCCGGCCUAUGAGGGCUGUAGGGUGUUGUGGGCGGCAGUAAAACCAGGGUUCAACUAGUCCUCCCCAUUGUUAUCUUUUUCUUGGUAUGGUCAAGAAGAAGACUUUCUAGUGUUUUUUUGGUUGUUAUAAGGAAGAUGAAGGGUCCUCCUUCAUGUCACAAAAAAACGACUGAUCUCCCCCCAAAAAAUGCCUAGGUCUAGCUAGGGUUUUUUUAUUUAAAAAUCUGAUGGGGAUUUUGGGUGUGGG